GUUUUUAUACGACCGCAAAAAAAUUUUUGUGGUCGUAUAUUGGUAUGACGUUGGCGUCGUCGUCCGGCGUCGUCUUCGUCGUCGUCGUCGUCGUCGUCCUGCGUCGUCGUCCGAAUACACAUUGGUUUUCGCACUCUAACUUUAGUUUAAGUGAAUGGAUCUUUUUGAAAUUUUACCAUAAGGUUAAAUUCCACAAAAGGAAGGUUGGGAUUGAUUUUGGGGUUUAUGGUACCAACAGUUAAGGAAUUAGGGGCCAAAAAGGGGCCAAAAAUAAGCAUUUUCUAGUUUCCAGACAAUAACUGUGGAACAGUGUAUGGAUCUCUCUGAAAUUAUACUACAAGUUUCCAUACCACAAAGGGAUGGUUAGGAUUUGCUUUGGGGGGUUAUGGCUCAAACCGUUUAGGAAUUAGGGGCAAAAAAGGGGGAAAAACAAGGGUUUCCUUGUUAAUAGACAAUCAAUUUUAUGUACAAUUUUAAAUUUAGAUUGCUUCCCUUACACUGCUUUAAAAUUAUGUACAAAGAAAUUUUGUAUUGUCUUGAGGUGAUUAGCUGUCAAUUUAUUUUUAGAAGUUACUAAUAAAAAUGCUGAUUAAAGAUAUAUUAUUUUUA
Mytilus californianus (California mussel) is the source of this 609-nucleotide long non-coding RNA. RefSeq lists it as uncharacterized. The record is from RefSeq and is a predicted model, not a curated record. The transcript is spliced from 2 exons. NCBI's taxonomy places the organism in Eukaryota, Metazoa, Mollusca, Bivalvia, Mytilida, Mytilidae.